UAAUGGGUGAUGGCGUGCCUUUUGUAGAAUGAACCGGCGAGUUACGAUUUGAUGCAAGGUUAAGCAGUAAAUGUGGAGCCGUAGCGAAAGCGAGUCUGAAUAGGGCGUUUAGUAUUUGGUCGUAGACCCGAAACCAGGUGAUCUACCCUUGGUCAGGUUGAAGUUCAGGUAACACUGAAUGGAGGACCGAACCGACUUACGUUGAAAAGUGAGCGGAUGAACUGAGGGUAGCGGAGAAAUUCCAAUCGAACCUGGAGAUAGCUGGUUCUCUCCGAAAUAGCUUUAGGGCUAGCCUCAAGUGAUGAUUAUUGGAGGUAGAGCACUGUUUGGACG
This 333-nucleotide ribosomal RNA is filed under the name Staphylococcus aureus. RNAcentral describes it as "partial 23S ribosomal RNA". It matches the Rfam family "Bacterial large subunit ribosomal RNA", at positions 587 to 920 of the family's 2925-position model. The record is from RNAcentral. Lineage: Bacteria; Bacillati; Bacillota; Bacilli; Caryophanales; Staphylococcaceae.